RNAcentral lists this long non-coding RNA (1108 nucleotides) under Lepisosteus oculatus (spotted gar). RNAcentral's name for it is "lncRNA (ENSLOCG00000022812.1)". The record is from RNAcentral. Lineage: Eukaryota; Metazoa; Chordata; Actinopteri; Semionotiformes; Lepisosteidae.
GGCUCAGCCAACCACAGCUCACCGGUCUUGAUCAGAACAGCAGUUAGAUAAUCAUGGUAAUAUCGUUUGGCUUUUGAAAGGCACACUGCUGUCAUCCUUCCAGAGCCCUUGGAUUAAACCUGCAGUGUAAUAAGCAUGUUUUUAAUUACACUGUGUUUAACAUUUAGAUUAUGAAAAUGUAAGUAAAUUCAAGAAGGUAAAUAAUAGUAAAUCCCCAUUUUAGGCCAGGAAUAGACCAAACCACACACCAAGAAAAAAUGACAAACCUACCACUCUGUCUGGUAACUGAUACCCUCUGAAUGGAAGCAGGAGGCCACUGGCUCAAGUGGUCCAUUGUGAGGAGACAGUGAGUUUGGACAAAAUGGAGAUACUUGUCUGAACUACAUUCCCAGAAUACCAUGGGGAACGAGUUAAUGCCCUCUGUCAUCUGACCAAUUGCUGCAAAACAAUUGGUUGAGAAGCACUUUAAAAAACAGGAAGCUGGAGUUUUGAGAGUUUUCUGGACACAGCAUGACAGGAAGAAGAGAAGGGAGCCGUGGCCUGACUGGCCGACUCACCGACUCACCGACUCACCGACUCACCGACUCACCGACUCACCGACUGACCAACUCUCCCCUAGACCUGCGAAUCAAAAAGCCUGUGGAAGGUCAUCACGGCCUGACGUGGACUCACGCAGUCCUCGUGGGGGAUUGGGGACACCUCACCUGUGAUACCGUCUUCCAGCCACUACAGACAGAGAGAGGCUGUCCAAGACCAUGUCUGUCUCGCUGUGUCAUCUGAGGCUGUGAUUUACGUCAGAACUCCGUCUCUAUCGCCCUGUUCUGGUCUCCUCAAGCCUUCCCAACUGCUUGUACUGUGUCCCCACUGACCACAAAAUCCACAUAUUCCAUACCAUUCAUCAUUCUCUUUUCUGAAGGUCUAGGCUCUAAUGGUAAGAAUUAUAAUAACCCUGUGUUGGUAUGUAUUUGUAAAGUGUUUUCUUUAAAAUAAUUCCAAACUGAUUUAUUAAUAGAACAGACCCAUUUCAUCCACCAGUGAAGUGUAGCAGUCUUUUGUAUUGUUUUUUACAAAUUAUUGAGUGACAGACCCAGAUUUCAAUAUAUUAAAA